UACGUAGGGGGCAAGCGUUAUCCGGAAUUACUGGGUGUAAAGGGAGCGUAGACGGUUGUACAAGUCUGAUGUGAAGGCCCACGGCUCAACUGUGGGAGUGCAUUGGAAACUGUAGAACUAGAGUAUCGGAGAGGCAAGUGGAAUUCCUAGUGUAGCGGUGAAAUGCGUAGAUAUUAGGAGGAACACCAGUGGCGAAGGCGGCUUGCUGGACGAAAACUGACGUUGAGGCUCGAAAGCGUGGGGAGCAAACAGG
RNAcentral lists this ribosomal RNA (253 nucleotides) under uncultured bacterium. RNAcentral describes it as "partial 16S ribosomal RNA". It matches the Rfam family "Bacterial small subunit ribosomal RNA", at positions 524 to 776 of the family's 1533-position model. The record is from RNAcentral.